Molecule: unclassified non-coding RNA, 683 nt
Filed under: Hevea brasiliensis (rubber tree)
Lineage: Eukaryota; Viridiplantae; Streptophyta; Magnoliopsida; Malpighiales; Euphorbiaceae
Source: RNAcentral
AAAUUCUUCCUGAGUCGUGAGGUGAGUCUGAUGGUUUAUUGCUCAAAAUCAAUUGGUACAACUUUUGGGUGUCACUUAUUGAGAUUGGUAGCUAACGUACUGGUUCUGGGAUUUGCCAAUGUGUUGGGGUCAAGACCUGCUUCCAUUGAGGUUGUGGAAAGGAUUAGUGUAGACAACCAUCCUUCCAUAUACCCUGCGGUUUAUUUAUAUAGUUGCCAUCAUUCUGUAUUGGAGUUUCCAAGUUGUCUUACACAUGCAGGUUAAUAUAGCUUUUAUGCAUCUCAUCAAGGCUGUACUACAAUCUUAAUUGAGAACAUCUAUAUGUUCCUGUAAGGCUGUACCUUCCGAACGUUGAUGUUGCUUAGUUAUGCACAGGUUAUUAAUAUAUCUGCAAACCUGGUUGAAUUUUCUGAUUUCAAAGUGUCGUCUCUUGUUAGAGGCCAACACUUUUACUAUGCUUCUGUGGAUGGUGGUAUAGUUGAGGAAUUUCUUGCAAAAUAAAAAUUUGCGGAGACUUUUAUCAUCUACCCACAUUGGAUGCCUAUGUUCCAAAUUGGUUUCCCACAUUAUUUUCAAGUGUCAAAGAAUCUUCAUUUUCAUCUUAUUGGCUGGUAGUUGAUUUAAAAUUAGUUUGAGCAGAUGGCUUUCUGACAAUGUCAUAGUCAUUUCAUGUGAUUGAUUAA